Long non-coding RNA from Zootoca vivipara (common lizard), 3855 nucleotides. RefSeq lists it as uncharacterized. The record is from RefSeq and is a predicted model, not a curated record. Lineage: Eukaryota; Metazoa; Chordata; Lepidosauria; Squamata; Lacertidae.
AAUUUGCUACCAAGGAGUGUGGUGGAGUCUCCUUCUUUGGAGGUCUUUAAGCAGAGGCUUGACAGGCAUAUGUCAAGAAUGCUUUGAUGGUGUUUCCUGCUUGGCAGGGGGCUGGACUGGAUGGCCCUUGUGGUCUCUUCCAACUCUAUGAUUCUAUGAAACACCUGGAUAUGGCUUCAAAGUUCUAUUAUUCCCUCCUUCAGAGUUGCACAGCUAGCCUCUGUGGACCUCACAUGUGAGCAGUUAAACGUGCAGGGAAAUAAGAGGAAACAGCACCCCAAGCUUGAGAUGUCCUGCCUGCUGCUGAUUCAGAAGUGGUGUGGCAGCCUGCCUGGUCCACCUGUUUAUUUCUCCCUUCUUUAUUCUCCCUCCUGAUGCUUGUGAGAUGAACUCCCAACAACAGAGCAAAGCAAUCUCAGCCAUUUAGCUCGCUGUCAGGAGAAGUUCAAGGAUUAUUCAUCUGCCCGCUUUUAACAACGUGGUCAGAAAUCAUAAAGGCACCACGAGAGUCGGCGAACACUUCAAAGCUGUGACUCAGCUGCUCCUGAAUGAACUCACAUUUUGAAUGUUUUCUGAGACGUCCUGGACCUCAAAUCUCAACAAGCUUGGAUGCAUUUACAAGAUCACCAUGCCAUAAAACCAAACACACAGUAGGAGCUCUGCAGACGAGCCUGGGAAAGAUGCUGCUUGGACCCUGGAGAGAUGCUGCCGGUCAGUGUCACCAAUACUGAGCUAGAUGGACCAUGAUGUAAAUAUCGCUGAGAUCAAUGGGACUCACUGCCAGUGGUCUGGACGGAGAAGCUAAUGAAUGAAACACAAAAGGCAAAAGGGACAGAAGACACAGAUGAACUGGAACAUCUUGGUGUCUUCAUUCAUUAUUAUCAUCAAGCAUGAGUGAUGAAAAGCAGGCGCUGGAUCUUAGCCCAGAAGCAAUGUGCACCUGUUCUUUCCUUGGAUUCAUGUUCCACCUGCUUUCAAGUCUGUUCCAUUUUUGGUUUGAAUUCACCGUUAAUCAGAUAUUAUCAGCACUCAAUAGGCAUUUCAACCAAGAAUGAAAACAUACGAAUGAGAAAGGAAAAUAGAUAAUUGGCUGAUCUGGAGUGGCAGCGGGACCACCAUUCAAAAGAUCUAGUUUGGCUUCAGCUUAGUACAACAUUUUGUCAGGGGUUCCCGGUGUGAUGUCCACGAAUCUGGCUCCCUGCCUUUUCGUCUCACUGCAUGUACCCACCGUUUCAAAGACAGACCAAGACUGGGAGUGAAUGCUCCUUGGCAGAUGGGAUGUGGAUGAAAGAAAGCAGAUAGGAGUUAGCCUUCAAUCACUACUUCUCCACUCCAUUCCAGUUCUGGAAUGAGUUUCAUUUAUAAAAACAGUGUCAAAGGGGCUCAAUGCCAUGUGUUUGAAUGUGUGUUGGAGACUGGAGGAGUUCUGUAUUAUUUCGGCAUAUUUACAAACAUACAAGUUGAACAUCCAUGGAGGUAGAUGGCACGGCCCACCCAUCCAGCCUAUGCCAACCUGAUGUUUGAGGCCAGAUGUUUUGGGGUUCAACGGCCACCACCCUCAGCCAGUAGAGAUGGGGCUGAUGGGGGUUUGCCCCCCAAAGCACCUGAUAGGCACCAGGCAAGCGGAAGCUGGUUCAAUCACUCCAAAAGCAACUCCGCUGCCCCACAACCAAUCUCCAAAGAGAGGCAGCUCCCACCCAAGGUGCCUUCUGAAUCCAGACGCUUCUUUGUUCUCUAUCUCCAGGCCAAUGAGUAAAAGUCUGAAAUUUCUCAUCUUGUGCUCCUCUUUACAGCCUAGGUUGUUCUUUGCUAGGAGGAGUGAGAAAAGGCUUGCUCCCUGUUGAGACUUCUGCAUAUUUCCUAGCCAUUCAAAAAGCACCUAAUGGACAUUUAGCCAGCAGCUCCCUAACAUAAAGUAGAGGUGUCCAGGGCUGGUUGAUUCCCUUGACUUGUAACAUGCUUCCUGCAGUCUUUCCAGUCCCAUUAAUCCUUUAAUUUCCACUCCCCACCCCGAACUUACAGAGGUAUCAUUAUUAAUGAGAACCUGAGUUCGAGUUCCAGGGCAAGGAUCAUAGUAAAAAAAACAAAAAAACAAACAAAACAAAAACCAUGAACAGUAAACACCACAUUAUGAGGCUACCACUUUCAAACUUCGACAUUCUUACUAUUAACAGCUGCAGUUUUGCUGCCUCCCUGACUUUAUAUGCUUCAUCCUGGUCACAGAUUUCCCCAUUGCUGCGUUCCAUCACAACACAGCAUCUGCAGACAGGGCCACACAGAGUGGGCAGGCAGUGUGGUUACUUAACCUUGUAGAAACCUGAAGGAGAGAUAACUUGUGAGUUGUGACCUAAGGAGGCUCAUUAGAAGAUGGCCGUUUGUGUCCUUGGAUGUGAGCAACAGAUUCAUCAGUGAUAAUUUCCGGAAUAAAAAUCCAGGAAUGGGCCAGAUAAAUGAUUGGACUCCUGUCAUGCAUUUGUAGUAUUACGGGGUAUAUUCCCCUUGAACAAAGGCACACCUGUUCUGCAAGUGUUAAGACAGAGGAACAGAUGGGCGGUUUUCAGUUCUAAUGAGGGAAGCUGGAAAAAUGGAGGCAGGUUGUUGUGCCUCAAACUGACAGGUGUAAAAUAUAAGGACUUCCACCCUGCAUGCAUGCAUCCAUUUAAAAUAAUUUCUGCCCCACUCUUCCGGGCUAAGGAGGUGUGAGUGGCAGACAGUGGAAGAUUAAGAACAGCAUGAAAUAUAAAUAAAAUAUAGUAAACAGUAAAGUCAGUGGCAUUUCACCUUCUUGGUGUGCAAUCAAGAUCGGAUCCACAUCACUACUUGGUGAUUCAAAGAUAGUCAUUUGCCUCCCUUCAAUUGUAUCAAAUGUCCUGUUACAGUUCUCAAACUAGCUUCCUAUCGGAUAAGAUGGUGGGCAGAGAAGCAACUGGAAUAGCAAGACUUACCUGUCAUACACUCCAGUCAUGCUUUCCCUCCCCAUCCAGCUACAAAGCCAAGAGAGGAGGGGGAAGAGUGAACAGGGAGCUAGAAACAUCCAAGGCAUGAUGGAUCCUGGGUUGUCAGCACGGCUCACUGAAAACCAAGGGACAAUGGAGUGGUCCAGAUUCCUGCACCUGCCCCCUCAGUCUGCGUGAGGAUGCACUUUGAGGUUUUCCGAUUGUCGUUACGUUGCACGUUCUUUGUUUGUGCCAGACACUAGCCGAUCCCAGCAGGGGACGAUCAAUCGCAGUGGGGAAAGGGAGUCAUGGGUAGGAUCUUCAUACACUAUGAGAAGUGAUGGAGGAUGUUGGGCAUGGAGAAAUGGACCCCAUCUGACUCCUCACCAAGGAAAGACCGCCACUGAGAAACAGGAGCACCUGCUUGCCACAGAACAGCAGUUGCAGCAACUUGCAAGGCAAAGAGUUGGGUGGUGAGGGCAUCCCCUUCACCACCUGCUUCCAUCAACUGCAUCUUCUGUCAGGUGACAGGAAUGCAGCAAGAGGCAUCUCACGAGGCCAGAAGCCUGUUCUUGGGGAGUCAAUGAGCUGCCUGAAAAGUCAUUUUUACACACACACACUCUGCGGGAUUUACGUAUAAGCUAGACAAGCUAUAGUUUAGGGCCCCACUCUCUUUGGGGCCUCAAAAAAUUUAAGGGAAAAAACACCUGGAUGUACAUUUCCAAAAUAUAAUACAAUUACUUUGAUAAAAUGCAUAUUUUGUUCUGUGUGACUUUAGAUACCUAUCAGGUCCAUAAAUGACCAUAUAGCAUAUAUUCAACACGAAAAACAGCGACAAUUUGUUGUUGACAAAGGACAGCUGGACAUAUAAAGGGCCCCGUUACCUUCAGUAGCUUAGGGCCUCAUCAAACCAUCAAGC